Molecule: ribosomal RNA, 301 nt
Filed under: uncultured bacterium
Lineage: Bacteria
Description: partial 16S ribosomal RNA
Rfam family: Bacterial small subunit ribosomal RNA
Source: RNAcentral
CAGCCGCCACGGGAAUACGUAUGUCGCGAGCGUUAUCCGGAAUUAUUGGGCAUAAAGGGCAUCUAGGCGGCCUAACAAGUCAGGGGUGAAAACCUGCGGCUCAACCGCAGGCCUGCCUUUGAAACUGUAAGGCUGGAGUACCGGAGAGGUGGACGGAACUGCACGAGUAGAGGUGAAAUUCGUAGAUAUGUGCAGGAAUGCCGAUGAUGAAGAUAGUCCACUGGACGGAAACUGACGCUGAAGUGCGAAAGCCGGGGGAGCGAACAGGAUUAGAUACCCGAGUAGUCCCUGUCUCUUAUAC